Molecule: ribosomal RNA, 497 nt
Filed under: uncultured bacterium
Lineage: Bacteria
Description: partial 16S ribosomal RNA
Rfam family: Bacterial small subunit ribosomal RNA
Source: RNAcentral
GAUGAACGCUGGCGGCGUGCCUAAUACAUGCAAGUCGAGCGAACAGAUGAGGAGCUUGCUCCUCUGACGUUAGCGGCGGACGGGUGAGUAACACGUGGAUAACCUACCUAUAAGACUGGGAUAACUUCGGGAAACCGGAGCUAAUACCGGAUAAUAUAUUGAACCGCAUGGUUCAAUAGUGAAAGACGGUUUUGCUGUCACUUAUAGAUGGAUCCGCGCCGCAUUAGCUAGUUGGUAAGGUAACGGCUUACCUAGGCAACGAUGCGUAGCCGACCUGAGAGGGUGAUCGGCCACACUGGAACUGAGACACGGUCCAGACUCCUACGGGAGGCAGCAGUAGGGAAUCUUCCGCAAUGGGCGAAAGCCUGACGGAGCAACGCCGCGUGAGUGAUGAAGGUCUUCGGAUCGUAAAACUCUGUUAUUAGGGAAGAGCAAAUGUGUAAGUAACUAUGCACGUCUUGACGGUACCUAAUCAGAAAGCCACGGCUAACUACGUG